RNAcentral lists this ribosomal RNA (497 nucleotides) under uncultured bacterium. RNAcentral's name for it is "partial 16S ribosomal RNA". It matches the Rfam family "Bacterial small subunit ribosomal RNA", at positions 28 to 507 of the family's 1533-position model. The record is from RNAcentral.
GAUGAACGCUGGCGGCGUGCCUAAUACAUGCAAGUCGAGCGAACAGACGAGGAGCUUGCUCCUCUGACGUUAGCGGCGGACGGGUGAGUAACACGUGGAUAACCUACCUAUAAGACUGGGAUAACUUCGGGAAACCGGAGCUAAUACCGGAUAAUAUAUUGAACCGCAUGGUUCAAUAGUGAAAGACGGUUUUGCUGUCACUUAUAGAUGGAUCCGCGCCGCAUUAGCUAGUUGGUAAGGUAACGGCUUACCAAGGCGACGAUGCGUAGCCGACCUGAGAGGGUGAUCGGCCACACUGGAACUGAGACACGGUCCAGACUCCUACGGGAGGCAGCAGUAGGGAAUCUUCCGCAAUGGGCGAAAGCCUGACGGAGCAACGCCGCGUGAGUGAUGAAGGUCUUCGGAUCGUAAAACUCUGUUAUUUGGGAAGAACAAAUGUGUAAGUAACUAUGCACGUCUUGACGGUACCUAAUCAGAAAGCCACGGCUAACUACGUG